Molecule: ribosomal RNA, 255 nt
Filed under: uncultured bacterium
Lineage: Bacteria
Description: partial 16S ribosomal RNA
Rfam family: Bacterial small subunit ribosomal RNA
Source: RNAcentral
CACGUAGGGUGCGAGCGUUUGUCCGGAAUUAUUGGGCGUAAAGGGCUCGUAGGCGGCCAACUAAGUCGGAUGUGAAAUCCCCAGGCUUAACCUGGGAACUGCAUCCGAUACUGGAUGGCUUGAAUCCGGGAGAGGGAUGCAGAAUUCCAGGUGUAGCGGUGAAAUGCGUAGAUAUCUGGAGGAAUACCGGUGGCGAAGGCGGCAUCCUGGACCGGCAUUGACGCUGAGGAGCGAAAGCGUGGGGAGCAAACAGGG